RNAcentral lists this ribosomal RNA (451 nucleotides) under uncultured bacterium. RNAcentral describes it as "partial 16S ribosomal RNA". It matches the Rfam family "Bacterial small subunit ribosomal RNA", at positions 29 to 523 of the family's 1533-position model. The record is from RNAcentral.
AGCGAACGCUGGCGGCAGGCCUAACACAUGCAAGUCGAGCGGCCGUAGCAAUACGGCAGCGGCAGACGGGAGAGUAACACGUGGGAACGCGCCCUUCGGUUCGGGAUAACUCAGGGAAACUUGGGCUAAUACCGGAUACGCCCUUACGGGGAAAGAUUUAUUGCCGAAGGAACGGCCCGCGUCCGCUUAGCUAGUUGGUGAGGUAACGGCUCACCAAGGCGACGAUCGGUAGCUGGUCUGAGAGGAUGACCAGCCUCACUGGGACUGAGACACGGCCCAGACUCCGACGGGAGGCAGCAGUGGGGAAUAUUGGACAAUGGGCGCAAGCCUGAUCCAGCCAUGCCGCGUGGGUGAUGAAGGCCCUAGGGUUGUAAAGCCCUUUCAGCGGGGAAGAUAAUGACGGUACCCGCAGAAGAAGCCCCGGCUAACUUCGUGCCAGCCGCCGCGGUAA